GAUGAACGCUGACAGAAUGCUUAACACAUGCAAGUCGAUGGGGAAGUGGUGCUUGCACCAUGGUAACCAUGGCGGACGGGUGAGUAACGCGUAAGGAACUUACCUGCGGGACCGGGAUAACAGCAGGAAACUGCUGACAAGACCGGAUAAGGUCAUUAAGCUGCAUAGCUUAGUGAUGAAAGGAGACGCCUGCGGAGAGCCUUGCGUCCUAUUAGCUAGUUGGAGGGGUAACGGCCCACCAAGGCGAAGAUAGGUAGCCGGCCUGAGAGGGUGGACGGCCACAAGGGGACUGAGAUACGGCCCUUACUCCUACGGGAGGCAGCAGUGGGGAAUAUUGGACAAUGGGGGCAACACUGAUCCAGCAAUUCUGUGUGCACGAAGACGGUUUUCGGAUUGUAAAGUGCUUUCAGCAGGGAAGAAGGAAGUGACGGUACCUGCAGAAGAAGCGACGGCUAAAUACGUG
This 463-nucleotide ribosomal RNA is filed under the name uncultured bacterium. Its description in RNAcentral is "partial 16S ribosomal RNA". It matches the Rfam family "Bacterial small subunit ribosomal RNA", at positions 28 to 507 of the family's 1533-position model. The record is from RNAcentral.